UGGGGAAUAUUGGACAAUGGGCGAAAGCUGAUCCAGCAAUGCCGCGUGUGUGAAGAAGGCCUUCGGGUUGUAAAGCACUUUAGGCUGGAAAGCGGUACCAGCAGAAUAAGCACCGGCUAACUCUGUGCCAGCAGCCGCGGUAAUACAGAGGGUGCUAGCGUUAAUCGGAUUUACUGGGCGUAAAGCGUGUGUAGGUGGUUCAUUGCGUCGGUUGUGAAAUCCCCGGGCUCAACCUGGGAACUGCUUCCGAUACGGAUGGACUAGAGUACGGUAGAGGGUGGUGGAAUUUCCGGUGUAGCGGUGAAAUGCGUAGAUAUCGGAAGGAACAUCAAUGGCGAAGGCAGCCACCUGGGCCUGUACUGACACUGAGACACGAAAGCGUGGGGAUCAAACAGGAUUAGAUACCCCUGUAGU
Molecule: ribosomal RNA, 414 nt
Filed under: uncultured bacterium
Lineage: Bacteria
Description: bacterial SSU rRNA
Rfam family: Bacterial small subunit ribosomal RNA
Source: RNAcentral